RNAcentral lists this ribosomal RNA (446 nucleotides) under uncultured bacterium. RNAcentral's name for it is "partial 16S ribosomal RNA". It matches the Rfam family "Bacterial small subunit ribosomal RNA", at positions 329 to 792 of the family's 1533-position model. The record is from RNAcentral.
UACCAGACUCCUACGGGAGGCAGCAGUGGGGAAUAUUGCACAAUGGGGGAAACCCUGAUGCAGCGACGCCGCGUGAGCGAUGAAGUAUUUCGGUAUGUAAAGCUCUAUCAGCAGGGAAGAAGAUGACGGUACCUGACUAAGAAGCCCCGGCUAACUACGUGCCAGCAGCCGCGGUAAUACGUAGGGGGCAAGCGUUAUCCGGAUUUACUGGGUGUAAAGGGAGCGUAGACGGCGAUGCAAGCCAGAUGUGAAAGCCCGGGGCUCACCCCCGGGACUGCAUUUGGAACUGUGUGGCUGGAGUGUCGGAGAGGCAGGCGGAAUUCCUAGUGUAGCGGUGAAAUGCGUAGAUAUUAGGAGGAACACCAGUGGCGAAGGCGGCCUGCUGGACGAUGACUGACGUUGAGGCUCGAAAGCGUGGGGAGCAAACAGGAUUAGAUACCCCAGUA